Non-coding RNA from Struthio camelus australis, 482 nucleotides. The record is from RefSeq and is a predicted model, not a curated record. NCBI's taxonomy places the organism in Eukaryota, Metazoa, Chordata, Aves, Struthioniformes, Struthionidae.
CUGGCAUGCUCCAGGACCUGGCUUUCCUGGGGAGGAAGACACCAGGCUUCCCUGCCUCAUACCUUCAUUUCAGCUCUGCAAGGUCUGCUGGGGUAGAGGUCUUUUCUCAUGAACUUCAGCUCUGGGAAACUGGUAACAGCUUUAACAUCAAAGGGCACCCUUUGCACCCUAGCCAUCCUGAGCAGAUGGAGUCUUUCUCCAGUUCCCGAGAAGUGGAAGGAGAGACCUUCUGAGGAUACCCUUUCCCCAAGCUCAGAGGAGCGAGAGAAAGGCUGUGAUGCCAACCAAGGACCGAAAGCAAUUUCCAGCUGGAAACAUAGGGGAUCCCUAAGACCCCUUAGACCGAAACUAAAUAUCCCUUUUACAGCUCAGAGCUUUUGCUGUGGGUUUCAUACCGAACCAUGGGGUGGCAGUGCUGUCCGACCGUCAAGACUGACAAGGUCUCUUCUGUGUGUGUACUCAGUCAGCACCCUGCUGCCUGG